GAUGAAGAACGUAGCGAAAUGCGAUAAGUAAUGCGAAUUGCAGAAUCCGUGAGUCAUCGAAUCUUUGAACGCACAUUGCGCCCUCUGGUAUUCCGGAGGGCAUGCCUGUUCGAGCGUCAUUUCGACCCUCAAGCAUUGCUUGGUGUUGGGGCACCGCCUGUAAAAGGGCGGGCCCUGAAAUCUAGUGGCGAGCUCGCCAGGACCCCGAGCGUAGUAAUUAUAUUUCGUUCUGGAAGGCCCUGGCGGUGCCCUGCCGUUAAACCCCCAACUUCUGAAAAUUUGACCUCGGAUCAGGUAGGAAUACCCGCUGAACUUAAGCAUAUCAAUAAGCGGAGGA
This 337-nucleotide unclassified non-coding RNA is filed under the name soil metagenome. Its description in RNAcentral is "partial contains 5.8S ribosomal RNA, internal transcribed spacer 2, and large subunit ribosomal RNA". The stretch from base 1 to 119 matches the Rfam family "5.8S ribosomal RNA", at positions 35 to 154 of the family's 154-position model. The record is from RNAcentral.